Molecule: long non-coding RNA, 1709 nt
Filed under: Sus scrofa (pig)
Lineage: Eukaryota; Metazoa; Chordata; Mammalia; Artiodactyla; Suidae
Description: lncRNA (ENSSSCG00005019461.1)
Source: RNAcentral
CUAGUUCUGUGAAAAAUGUCAUGGGUCAUUUGAUAGGGAUUGCAUUGAAUCUGUAGAUUGCUUUGGGUAGGAUGGCCAUUUUCACAAUAUUGAUUUUUCCAAUCCAUGAACAUGGAAUAUCUUUCCAUUUCUUUACAUCUUCUUUGAUUUCUUUGAUUAAAGUUUUAUAGUUCUCGGCAUAUAGGUCCUUUACCUCUUUGGUCAGGUGUAUUCCGAGGUAUUUGAUUUUGUGAGGUACGAUUUUAAAAGGUAUCAUUUUUUUGUAUUCCUUUUCUAAUGUUUCAUUGCUGGUAUACAGAAAUGCAACUGACUUCUGAAUGUUAAUCUUAUAUCCUGCCACUUUGCUGAAUUUAUUAAUCAGUUCAAGGAGUUUUGGGGUUGAAACAUUUUCUUUUCCAUUGUGUUUCUGAAAAAUAUUUAUUUCAGUACAAUGUGCAAGACUCUCUCAGUGACAUAUUAGCAGCUCUCCCAGCUUCUUUAAGACAUAUCUUGAAUAUGCCCAAUGUCUAUUUCAUUAUAGUGCCUAUUUUCCUCUCCAUGGCUCUACUAAAUUGUCAUUAGUUUGAGGUCAGUAUCUGAGUCUUCUCUUAAUCCAGCCAUUGCAUCUUCCAUAUCUUGCAGAGUGCCUGGCAUGUAGCAGACUCUUAAAAUAUGCAUGUCGAAUGAAUAAGUGAAUGAAUAAACAUCUGCUGGGCAGGAGAGAAAAACAUGUGGCUGACAGACACAUUUCGAAUGAGCUCAGAGUCUAGUGUUUCCAGAGGAGGAAAAGCAGUAACAAAAUAAACACAGCAAACAAGCACAGGUCCAACCAUUUUACAGUGAAGCCUCAUCUACCAGGAAUUCCCUGUCCGUGAAUCUAAUUUAUUCUGAGCAUCAAGGAAUGAAAAUAGACUUCUGAGCCUCCUCAACAAAGGUCUGAGGAAGUCCAAGUCUGUGCACUUUACUCCAGGAGAAAGCCUGGGACCUGUGGCCUCCCAAAUCCAUCAUUCUUCAUGCACUUCUAACCACCUCUGUUCGGCAGUUCUUAAAGCCACAGUGGUUUAAAAAGAAGAUUAGAGAGUGGUGACUGUUAGAGACAGGCAUACUGAGAGCAAAGAGUUGUCACCUUGACAGGAAGGAAGAGAUACACAAAUAAAAUAAAAACAAACCAUAAAACAGACCUACGAACCCUUAUUCCAUAGCAACUCCUGAAAACUGCAAAAUGUUUUUGAACAAAUGGUCCCAGAAUGUUGAGUUCUAGGGACACUUGGUAGAGAAAAGAAGAAAGAAUUUGGGUCAGAUUAUCUGCAGCCAUGUUCUUACUCAGUUUCUAAUUUCCUGUGUGACCUUGGGCAAGCUAUUUAACCUCUAUGAGUCUCAGCUUCUUUAUCUAAAACAAGCCGAUAUUGCAAUCGACUCAGGGUUUUUAUGAGCAAUAAAUAAGAUGGAAACUAUAAAGAUAAUAAAAAAAAUACACACACAUCCCACACACAUGUAUCUUGUCCAUCAUAAAACAUGGUGCAGAGAAUUAAACCUAGAAGGGUGAUUGGGGACUUACUUGAUGGUACUUCCUAUUUUACAGGUGAGAAAAUAGAGGCCAAAGGUACAACUUUCCCAAUAGAAUGAGGGGAUAUUUGUGUAGAUUUAUUAUUUCAUCAUAUGCCCUUUCUCUGACCUAGACCAGAAAGAAAUUUACAAAAGCAACUCAUCGCCAGUGUUCACACCACAAA